Molecule: ribosomal RNA, 492 nt
Filed under: uncultured bacterium
Lineage: Bacteria
Description: partial 16S ribosomal RNA
Rfam family: Bacterial small subunit ribosomal RNA
Source: RNAcentral
AGCGAACGCUGGCGGCAGGCCUAACACAUGCAAGUCGAACGGCAGCACAGUAAGAGCUUGCGCUUACGGGUUGCGAGUGGCGGACGGGUCAGGAAAACAACGGGAUCUACUUUUUCGUGUGGGAUAACGUAGGGAAACUUAAGCUAAGACCGCAGACCACCUACGGGGGAAGGGGGUGGAUCGUCGGACCGGGCGCGAAUGGAUGAGCCGAUGUCGUAUUAGAUGGUUGGCGGGGUAAAGGCCAACCAAGUCGACGAUCCGUAGCUGGUGUGAGAGGAUGAUCGGCGACAUUGGAACUGAGCCACGGUCCUGAGUACUACGGGAGGCAGCAGUGGCGUAUAUUGGACAGUGGUCGCAAGUAUGAUCCAGUCAUACCGCGUGUGUGACGAAGGCCUUGGGGUUGUAAAGACCUUUUGUUGGGAAAGAAAAGCAGCAGGUUAAUACGCCGCUGGUCUGACGGUAACCAAAGAAUAAGCACCGGCUAACUUCGUG